GUACAUAAGUGCUUGCGCACGACAAUAAUUUCAUUACAUUCGAGUGGGUGUAAAAAUCCUCUGCCAGCCGAAGCUAGCAAGAGGCCAAAGGUUCACAGGGGUAUUGGAAUGAAAGCCACCGACGUGCACUUGCAGGAGCCAGCACAGAAGGCAACAGUUUACAAUCAAUAAUGAUCCUUCCGCAGGUUCACCUACGGAAA
Molecule: unclassified non-coding RNA, 200 nt
Filed under: uncultured fungus
Lineage: Eukaryota; Fungi
Description: sequence contains ITS1
Source: RNAcentral